AGAGUUUGAUCCUGGCUCAGGACGAACGCUGGCGGCGUGCCUAAUGCAUGCAAGUCGAACGCUGCACCUUCGGGUGUAGAGUGGCGAACGGCUGAGGAACACGUAUGCACCAACCCCGGUGUGGGGGGACAACCUGGCGAAAGCCAGGCUAAUCCCGCAUACGCUCUGCGGAGUAAAGUCGCAAGACGCAUCGGAACGGGCGUGCGGCCCAUCAGGUAGUUGGCGGGGUAACGGCCCACCAAGCCCGUGACGGGUAGCUGGUCUGAGAGGACGACCAGCCAGACUGGGACUGUGACACGGCCCAGACUCCUACGGGAGGCAGCAGCAAGGAAUUUUCGGCAAUGGGCGAAAGCCUGACCGAGCAACGCCGCGUGCAGGAUGACGGCCUUCGGGUUGUAAACUGCUUUUGUGUGGGAAGAUACGGACGGUACCACACGAAUCAGCCCCGGCUAACUCUGUGCCAGCAGCCGCGGUAAUACAGAGGGGGCAAGCGUUGUCCGGAUUUACUGGGCGUAAAGGGUACGUAGGCGGUUCUUUAGGUGGGGUGUGACAUCUCCAAGCUUAACUUGGAGCGGCCGCUCCAAACCAGAGAACUCGAGUCGUGCAGAUGUCGGUGGAAUUGCCAGUGUAGCAGUGAAAUGCGUAGAGAUUGGCAGGAACACCAAGGGCGCAAGCAGCCGACAGGGCACGAACUGACGCUGAGGUACGACAGCGUGGGGAGCGAGCAGGAUUAGAUACCCUAGUAGUCC
RNAcentral lists this ribosomal RNA (749 nucleotides) under uncultured bacterium. RNAcentral describes it as "bacterial SSU rRNA". It matches the Rfam family "Bacterial small subunit ribosomal RNA", at positions 8 to 796 of the family's 1533-position model. The record is from RNAcentral.